CCGGCCUUUGGAACUCCUCCUUCAACUCCGGCUUUUGGGGCUACUUCUUCCACACCGGCAUUUGGCACUCCGUCUUCGACACCGGCGUUUGGCACUCCGUCUUCGACACCUUCGUUUGGGGCUCCGUCUUCGACACCGGCAUUUGGAACUCCGUCCUCGACACCGGCGACACCGGCUUUUGGAACUCCAUCAACGCCGUCUUUCGCUACGGGCUUUGGCGGCUCCUCUCUUUUCUCCACCCCAUUCUCUUCUCAAACGCAACAGCAACAGACUUCAUUGUUUCAGCAACCACAGCCAUCCAUCGCGGCACCCUCUAGUGGUU
Molecule: long non-coding RNA, 322 nt
Filed under: Gossypium barbadense (sea-island cotton)
Lineage: Eukaryota; Viridiplantae; Streptophyta; Magnoliopsida; Malvales; Malvaceae
Description: long non-coding RNA (GBAR_LNC002532)
Source: RNAcentral